RNAcentral lists this ribosomal RNA (253 nucleotides) under uncultured microorganism. Its description in RNAcentral is "partial 16S ribosomal RNA". It matches the Rfam family "Bacterial small subunit ribosomal RNA", at positions 524 to 776 of the family's 1533-position model. The record is from RNAcentral.
UACGGAGGGGGCAAGCGUUGUUCGGAAUUACUGGGCGUAAAGCGCACGUAGGCGGUUUUGUAAGUCUGGGGUCAAAGGCGACAGCUCAACUGUCGUAAGGCCUUAGAUACUAUCGCGCUAGAGUACCAGAGAGGAUGGCGGAAUUCCCGGUGUAGCGGUGAAAUGCGUAGAUAUCUGGAGGAACACCGGUGGCGAAAGCGGCUCUCUGGCUGGUAACUGACGCUGAGGUGCGAGAGCGUAGGGAGCAAACAGG